GCAAGCCGAGCGGUAUUUGUCUUUCGGGACAGAGAGAGCGGCGUACGGGUGCGGAACACGUGUGCAACCUGCCUUUAUCAGGGGGAUAGCCUUUCGAAAGGAAGAUUAAUACCCCAUAAUAUUUAGAAUGGCAUCAUUUUAAAUUGAAAACUCCGGUGGAUAGAGAUGGGCACGCGCAAGAUUAGAUAGUUGGUGAGGUAACGGCUCACCAAGUCUGCGAUCUUUAGGGGGCCUGAGAGGGUGAUCCCCCACACUGGUACUGAGACACGGACCAGACUCCUACGGGAGGCAGCAGUGAGGAAUAUUGGACAAUGGGUGGAAGCCUGAUCCAGCCAUCCCGCGUGAAGGAUGACGGCCCUAUGGGUUGUAAACUUCUUUUGUAUAGGGAUAAACCUAGAUACGUGUAUCUAGCUGAAGGUACUAUACGAAUAAGCACCGGCUAACUCCGUGCCAGCAGCCGCGGUAAUACGGAGGGUGCAAGCGUUAUCCGGAUUUAUUGGGUUUAAAGGGUCCGUAGGCGGAUCUGUAAGUCAGUGGUGAAAUCUCACAGCUUAACUGUGAAACUGCCAUUGAUACUGCAGGUCUUGAGUGUUGUUGAAGUAGCUGGAAUAAGUAGUGUAGCGGUGAAAUGCAUAGAUAUUACUUAGAACACCAAUUGCGAAGGCAGGUUACUAAGCAACAACUGACGCUGAUGGACGAAAGCGUGGGGAGCGAACAGGAUUAGAUACCCUGGUAGUCCACGCCGUAAACGAUGCUAACUCGUUUUUGGUAUUUCGGUAUCAGAGACUAAGCGAAAGUGAUAAGUUAGCCACCUGGGGAGUACGUUCGCAAGAAUGAAACUCAAAGGAAUUGACGGGGGCCCGCACAAGCGGUGGAUUAUGUGGUUUAAUUCGAUGAUACGCGAGGAACCUUACCAAGGCUUAAAUGGGAAAUGACAGGUUUAGAAAUAGACUUUUCUUCGGACAUUUUUCAAGGUGCUGCAUGGUUGUCGUCAGCUCGUGCCGUGAGGUGUUAGGUUAAGUCCUGCAACGAGCGCAACCCCUGUCACUAGUUGCCAUCAUUAAGUUGGGGACUCUAGUGAGACUGCCUACGCAAGUAGAGAGGAAGGUGGGGAUGACGUCAAAUCAUCACGGCCCUUACGCCUUGGGCCACACACGUAAUACAAUGGCCGGUACAGAGGGCAGCUACACAGCGAUGUGAUGCAAAUCUCGAAAGCCGGUCUCAGUUCGGAUUGGAGUCUGCAACUCGACUCUAUGAAGCUGGAAUCGCUAGUAAUCGCGCAUCAGCCAUGGCGCGGUGAAUACGUUCCCGGGCCUUGUACACACCGCCCGUCAAGCCAUGGAAGUCUGGGGUACCUGAAGUCGGUGACCGUAACAGGA
Molecule: ribosomal RNA, 1379 nt
Filed under: bacterium
Lineage: Bacteria
Description: bacterial SSU rRNA
Rfam family: Bacterial small subunit ribosomal RNA
Source: RNAcentral